UGUAAUCGGCCAUUAGAACUUCCUCGCUGCCCUUUUCUUUAGUUGUCUCUCAAUUACUUCUCUCACGUCCAAAACCAUCAAAGCCAGAAUUUGUUGUUUCUUUUCUCUCCAAAAAAGCUUCCUCUCCCAAAUCACUGCUGCAUCCGUCUUCAAAAGCUUCUUCUCUUGUAAAGUUUCGAUCCAUUCUCUCAAUUCGCGUGCUAUUAUAUUAGACACCGACGCGGCUUUGCCGCCGUGCGCCGCCACAGUCCAGCCAAGCUAGGCUAGCGCACCACCACCGUUCAAUUAGUCUCCUCCUCCUCCUCUACAAACCCACAAAUUGCAUGUGGGAUUAAAAGAAUUCUUCAUCGGAUGGGUCACUAUUGGUGCUAGCUAGGAUAAAUAACAAUGUUUUGUUGGAAAGCAUUCUAUGCCAUGGGCAUGUACGUGGUUCCUGAUUGAUAUGGAGAAAUCAGCUGUUUCAGGAUGACUGUGACUUCACUUAGUUGCAUCUGUCGAUUCCAAUAUGUAAACAGAAUUAGAGUUCGUGUUAAUCGUUCUUGGAGAUCAAAGAGGUAUCAGAACAAUGCUUUUGAUGGAAUGCACUAUUUUCUUAUUGAUGAGAAGAGUGAUUCAAUCCAUGUUGUUGUUGAUGAACAUGAUUAUGCUCACACUACCACUAUGAAGGAUGGUUGUCUUUAUGACAUUUUUCAUGUCCAUGUAAAAUCUUCCAGUAAUGGAUAUAAGGUUGUGGAUAAUGAUGUUGAGAUCGGAUUUAAUGAGAUGUUUAAGAUUGUUUUGCUGAAAGAUGAUUCAUGUCCAAUCCUGAAAUAUAUUUGUCACUUUCUUCCUUUCUCUGAGGUUGAAAAGUGUUUCAAUGAUCAGCAGAAGUUGGAAUGUGAGAAGAAAAUAGUCCUCUUGGCUGGUUCAACAAGCCCGGUGACAAAGCUAUUGUUGGGCAGACCUUCUCUAGAAUUAAUAAGGAUGAAUCAUGGAAAACAAUCAUGGAUCUUCGUAUGCUAGAUCCAUCUAAGUAUAAGAUGUAAUUGGAAGGGUGGUCUAUGUGUACAAACUUGAAAAAACAGGAUUAGAUGCCAACAAGAGGGCAAGGCGAUAUGUCCAGUUAGAGAAUCAAAGGUGGUGGCUCAAAUCAUGUAUAUUUAUAAAAUUGGUCACAUUUGCUUCUCUCAUACUGUUGAGCAGGAACCAAAAUCUAAUGUUGUCUUUAUGGGGAGACCUUGCCAAUGAUAUCAGUGCAGAUUCUAUUAACAAAAGCGACUUUCGUCCGGUUGUAGCUGCAUUUACCCCUGUUGUUGUUACUGGAAGCCAAAAUGGUUUACAGCUCCAUUCUAUUUCUGAUACAUACAUUUUUAUCAAUCCAAUGGUUAAAGAGAUUCAUAAGUUGAGAAUAAGAAAUCAUGAAAACUUGCUGGAUUCAGGUCGAUCUGAUGCAACAAUAUUUGAUAUUUCGAUUGCAUGUUACCAAUUUAGUAUAGUUGCAAUGAUCGACAAAAUAGAGUUUGAGAAUGGUUGGUAUUACAUGACCUGUAGUACAUGUAACAGGGAAGUGCCUAAGCAAAUGGGUACUCAUCUCAUUAGCUGUGAGCGCGAUGGAGAGAGCACUGGAAUUCCAAUCUACGGAGUAAAUGUCACACUCAAAGAUCAAACCAAUGACAUUGAAGUUGUACCCAGGGGUAGUGCAGCGCAAUCAUUGUUUGGCACAGACUGUGAGAGUUUAGUUGAGAUGGAAGGAUGUGGUGAUAUGUAGUGUCUUCCUCAACUUAUAUGUAAUCAGCUCCUCAGAACUUUUACCUGACGAAUUGGAUUUGAAAUUAACAAGGGGCUGAUAGUGGAAUCAGUAAAGAAGAACAAUGAUAAAGUGCCUAAAGGGACUGCUGAAAUGGAGAAACUAAUAACAAUAGAAGAAAUCAAGAAGAUAAUCUCCUUUGAAAAUCAAAAAAUAACACCCAGUAAUAUAGGAAAUGAUAAGGAAUCCAUAGAAAUGCACAGCACUGUGGCCCAUUUGGUUCUUGGUGGCAUUCAUGCAUCAGGGGAGAAACAGAAUGACAAUUAUAGAAAACACAAGUUUGCCUGCAUCAUCUGCAGAUAAGAGGAGUAGAAGAUAUCUGCAUAUACAAGAUGGCAACCAAUUAGGGCUCAACAUCAGCACCAGAGAAUCAUACUGCCGAUUGAAGAAUUGAUGAUGCACAUCAAUUUUUUUUUGAAUAUCACUACCAUCUGGGUAGCCUGAAUGUAGAUAUAACUUAGGAAGUUCUAAUGCACACUAUUAUGAAGUAGAUGCGAAGAAAAAGGGGAUCUCUUGGCUUCAUUUUUUGAAAGGUCCUCCAGCAAUACCAUUUUUGUUCAGAUCAACAGUAUUUCAUGCAAAUCUCAAAUUGAUCAAGACUCCUUUUGGAAUGUAUUCAUUAACUUCUAAUUGUAAGUAUAAGUUGUUGGAUAAUACCUAUAUGAUGAAACGCAGUUGCAAUGUAAUACCAUGUAAACAGUGGAGUCUAAUGUAUUGUUUAUAUAUACUCUGUUUAAUGCUAUUAGUUAAAUUUGGCUUU
Molecule: RNA transcript, 2546 nt
Organism: Argentina anserina (silverweed cinquefoil)
Lineage: Eukaryota; Viridiplantae; Streptophyta; Magnoliopsida; Rosales; Rosaceae
Exons: 12
Source: RefSeq, a predicted model, not a curated record